RNAcentral lists this transfer RNA (76 nucleotides) under Planctomycetaceae bacterium. RNAcentral's name for it is "tRNA-Phe". It matches the Rfam family "tRNA". From Rfam's summary of the family: Transfer RNA (tRNA) molecules are approximately 80 nucleotides in length. Their secondary structure includes four short double-helical elements and three loops (D, anti-codon, and T loops). Further hydrogen bonds mediate the characteristic L-shaped molecular structure. tRNAs have two regions of fundamental functional importance: the anti-codon, which is responsible for specific mRNA codon recognition, and the 3' end, to which the tRNAs corresponding amino acid is attached (by aminoacyl-tRNA synthetases). tRNAs cope with the degeneracy of the genetic code in two manners: having more than one tRNA (with a specific anti-codon) for a particular amino acid; and 'wobble' base-pairing, i.e. permitting non-standard base-pairing at the 3rd anti-codon position. The record is from RNAcentral. RNAcentral also lists the same sequence under 1 other name. Lineage: Bacteria; Pseudomonadati; Planctomycetota; Planctomycetia; Planctomycetales; Planctomycetaceae.
GGGCAGGUAGCUCAGCUGGUAGAGCAUGGCACUGAAAAUGCCAGGGUCCCCAGUUCAACUCUGGGCCUGCCCACCA